RNAcentral lists this non-coding RNA (27 nucleotides) under Mus musculus (house mouse). The record is from RNAcentral. Lineage: Eukaryota; Metazoa; Chordata; Mammalia; Rodentia; Muridae.
UACAGAGUGAGUUCCAGGACAGCCAUA